RNAcentral lists this ribosomal RNA (254 nucleotides) under uncultured bacterium. Its description in RNAcentral is "partial 16S ribosomal RNA". It matches the Rfam family "Bacterial small subunit ribosomal RNA", at positions 524 to 776 of the family's 1533-position model. The record is from RNAcentral. RNAcentral also lists the same sequence under 2 other names.
UACAGAGGGAGCAAGCGUUAUCCGGAAUGAUUGGGCGUAAAGCGUCUGUAGGUGGUUUAGAAAGUCUACUGUCAAAUACCAAGGCUCAACCUUGGGCAGGCAGUAGAGUACUUUUAGACUAGAGUGUGGUAGAGGUAGAGGGAAUCCCUAGCGUAACAGUGAAAUGUGUAGAUUUUAGGGAGAACACCAGCGGCGAAGGCGCUCUACUGGGCCAAGACUGACACUGAGAGACGAAAGCUAGGGGAGCGAAUAGG